Cucumis melo (muskmelon) is the source of this 1541-nucleotide long non-coding RNA. RefSeq lists it as uncharacterized. The record is from RefSeq and is a predicted model, not a curated record. Lineage: Eukaryota; Viridiplantae; Streptophyta; Magnoliopsida; Cucurbitales; Cucurbitaceae. The transcript has 2 exons.
ACUAUCUAUGAUCUUGAACACAUCUCCUUGAUCGUUAAGCAUUUCCCCCCCUCGUACUAGAUAGAAAAUGGUUCGAAGGUGCUAAUGUCUCCGCCUUCAAAUCACCGAGUGACAGAUGCUAUUGAUAUUAGAGGCACUGUUGAAUGACCACAAGAGGAUAUCUGAAAUACCAUUCGACACUAGGACUAGGUUUAGCCACCUAGCAUACUUUCGCAUGUACACACGUCUGACCUUGUGUGUCGGCAAAGUACGUGGAUGAAUAGAUGAUGUUUCGCAAUUCUGUGCCAUCUACUCUGAACAACGACCGAUUUACAAUCGAUGAAAGUCAUCGACGUUGAAGAGAUGGUUGUUAUCUUCCUUCAUGUGCUAGCGCAAAAUGUGAAGAACCACCAGAUUCAAAGGGAGUUCAUACGGUCCAGUGAGACAGACUUGCAACAUUUCAACAUUGUCUUGAUGGUUGUGCUUCGUCUGCAUGACAAGUUUUUACAAUUCUUUUACUGAUUUAAUUGAUUUAUCAGAAUGGCCAGUUUCUUUAGGAACUCUAAGCAUCCAUGAACGAAGGUAGAGGAGAUAUGCCUAGUCGAUUUGGUGAACGUAGGGGGUUAAAGGUCGGACAACGAGACCUUCUGAUCAAGUUAUCGAUCGUAGUUGGUGAGGAUGCUGGGAGAAAGAAUGCUCGAAUGCACAGUCAUCGAAAGUCGAAUAAAAUUAUUCAUAAAGACGUUUCAGGCCAUUACUGAAAUCAAGGGGCCAAUGGGCAGUGGCUUUGGAAUAAACAAUGACAUAAAGUGCGUCAUUGCAGAGAGGGACAUGUUAGACAAUUGGGUUCGAACACAUCCUACAGCAAAAGGACUCUCAACAAGCCUUUCUCUCAUUACAACAAGUUAUCGUAUGUCUUUGAGAAAGACCAUGCGACAGGGGCCCAUGUAGAGAUGUUCACGGACAUUAGGUCGAACAUGGAAGGACCCAACGAUAGUGUGCAAGUAGAGGAUGGCCUGGAUACGAAGUUCCUGACUAUGUGCGCCCCCAAGAUGAACAUGUCACCCGAUGACAUUAUGGCCAAUUGAUCGGGUAGGUCCAGUGAUUGUAGGCCGAGUUCUAGCGAUCAAAAGAGGAAGUACGACAUGCAAGCAUUCAAGAAUUAUGACCUCAUUCAGGACGUCAUGGAAAGUGCAAAUGAUCAACUUAGGGCCGUUGCCGAAUGGCCAAAUAGAGUUGGCCAAAAUUAAGACGUACUACACAGGAAGUCAUUACACAUAUGUAGUCCAUUUCGGGUCUUAGUGUGGAGGACCUCAAUAAAUGCAUGAUGAUAGUGAUGGAGAAGGUGUCACUCAUGAAAAGCUUCAUCAACAUGCUCGAUCCGAUGAAGGCCGCAUACUGCAGGGUUCUUCUCCGCAAUAAUCCAUGACUUUGUUUCUCUUUCCUUUGCAUGACUUGUAUUUUUUGUUUUCAUGUCGUUGAAUUCAUGUUUUUCCUAGCUUUGCAUUAUAUGUUUGUACGCUAUAAUCGACAUUCACUAUUUUAUAUUGGAUUUUUUUAGA